This 303-nucleotide ribosomal RNA is filed under the name uncultured bacterium. RNAcentral describes it as "partial 16S ribosomal RNA". It matches the Rfam family "Bacterial small subunit ribosomal RNA", at positions 507 to 807 of the family's 1533-position model. The record is from RNAcentral.
AGCAGCAGCCGCGGUAAAACAGAGGGUGCGAGCGUUAAUCGGAUUUACUGGGCGUAAAGCGUGCGUAGGCGGCUUCUUAAGUCGGAUGUGAAAUCCCUGAGCUUAACUUAGGAAUUGCAUUCGAUACUGGGAAGCUAGAGUAUGGGAGAGGAUGGUAGAAUUCCAGGUGUAGCGGUGAAAUGCGUAGAGAUCUGGAGGAAUACCGAUGGCGAAGGCAGCCAUCUGGCCUAAUACUGACGCUGAGGUACGAAAGCAUGGGGAGCAAACAGGAUUAGAUACCCCGGUAGUCCCUGUCUCUUAUAC